GGUUAAGCGACUAAGCGUACACGGUGGAUGCCCUGGCAGUCAGAGGCGAUGAAGGGCGUGCUAAUCUGCGAUAAGCGCCGGUAAGGUGAUAUGAACCGUUAUAACCGGCGAUACCCGAAUGGGGAAACCCAGUGUGAUUCGUCACACUAUCAUUAACUGAAUCCAUAGGUUAAUGAGGCGAACCGGGGGAACUGAAACAUCUAAGUACCCCGAGGAAAAGAAAUCAACCGAGAUUCCCCCAGUAGCGGCGAGCGAACGGGGAGGAGCCCAGAGCCUGAAUCAGCAUGUGUGUUAGUGGAAGCGUCUGGAAAGGCGCGCGAUACAGGGUGACAGCCCCGUACACAAAAGCGCAUGUGCUGUGAGCUCGAUGAGUAGGGCGGGACACGUGGUAUCCUGUCUGAAUAUGGGGGGACCAUCCUCCAAGGCUAAAUACUCCUGACUGACCGAUAGUGAACCAGUACCGUGAGGGAAAGGCGAAAAGAACCCCGGCGAGGGGAGUGAAAAAGAACCUGAAACCGUGUACGUACAAGCAGUGGGAGCACAGGUUUACCUGUGUGACUGCGUACCUUUUGUAUAAUGGGUCAGCGACUUAUAUUCUGUAGCAAGGUUAACCGAAUAGGGGAGCCGGAGGGAAACCGAGUCUUAAUUGGGCGUUAAGUUGCAGGGUAUAGACCCGAAACCCGGUGAUCUAGCCAUGGGCAGGUUGAAGGUUGGGUAACACUAACUGGAGGACCGAACCGACUAAUGUUGAAAAAUUAGCGGAUGACCUGUGGCUGGGGGUGAAAGGCCAAUCAAACCGGGAGAUAGCUGGUUCUCCCCGAAAGCUAUUUAGGUAGCGCCUCGUGAAUUCAUCUCCGGGGGUAGAGCACUGUUUCGGCUAGGGGGCCAUCCCGGCUUACCAACCCGAUGCAAACUGCGAAUACCGGAGAAUGUUAUCACGGGAGACACACGGCGGGUGCUAACGUCCGUCGUGAAGAGGGAAACAACCCAGACCGCCAGCUAAGGUCCCAAAGUCAUGGUUAAGUGGGAAACGAUGUGGGAAGGCCCAGACAGCCAGGAUGUUGGCUUAGAAGCAGCCAUCAUUUAAAGAAAGCGUAAUAGCUCACUGGUCGAGUCGGCCUGCGCGGAAGAUGUAACGGGGCUAAACCAUGCACCGAAGCUGCGGCAGCGACGCUGAUGCGUUGUUGGGUAGGGGAGCGUUCUGUAAGCCUGUGAAGGUGUGUCGUGAGGCAUGCUGGAGGUAUCAGAAGUGCGAAUGCUGACAUAAGUAACGAUAAAGCGGGUGAAAAGCCCGCUCGCCGGAAGACCAAGGGUUCCUGUCCAACGUUAAUCGGGGCAGGGUGAGUCGACCCCUAAGGCGAGGCCGAAAGGCGUAGUCGAUGGGAAACGGGUUAAUAUUCCCGUACUUGGUGUUACUGCGAAGGGGGGACGGAGAAGGCUAUGUUGGCCGGGCGACGGUUGUCCCGGUUUAAGCGUGUAGGCUGGUUUUCCAGGCAAAUCCGGAAAAUCAAGGCUGAGGCGUGAUGACGAGGCACUACGGUGCUGAAGCAACAAAUGCCCUGCUUCCAGGAAAAGCCUCUAAGCAUCAGGUAACAUCAAAUCGUACCCCAAACCGACACAGGUGGUCAGGUAGAGAAUACCAAGGCGCUUGAGAGAACUCGGGUGAAGGAACUAGGCAAAAUGGUGCCGUAACUUCGGGAGAAGGCACGCUGACACGUAGGUGAAGUGAUUUACUCAUGGAGCUGAAGUCAGUCGAAGAUACCAGCUGGCUGCAACUGUUUAUUAAAAACACAGCACUGUGCAAACACGAAAGUGGACGUAUACGGUGUGACGCCUGCCCGGUGCCGGAAGGUUAAUUGAUGGGGUCAGCGCAAGCGAAGCUCCUGAUCGAAGCCCCGGUAAACGGCGGCCGUAACUAUAACGGUCCUAAGGUAGCGAAAUUCCUUGUCGGGUAAGUUCCGACCUGCACGAAUGGCGUAAUGAUGGCCAGGCUGUCUCCACCCGAGACUCAGUGAAAUUGAACUCGCUGUGAAGAUGCAGUGUACCCGCGGCAAGACGGAAAGACCCCGUGAACCUUUACUAUAGCUUGACACUGAACAUUGAGCCUUGAUGUGUAGGAUAGGUGGGAGGCUUUGAAGUGUGGACGCCAGUCUGCAUGGAGCCGACCUUGAAAUACCACCCUUUAAUGUUUGAUGUUCUAACGUGGACCCGUUACCCGGGUUGCGGACAGUGUCUGGUGGGUAGUUUGACUGGGGCGGUCUCCUCCUAAAGAGUAACGGAGGAGCACGAAGGUUGGCUAAUCCUGGUCGGACAUCAGGAGGUUAGUGCAAUGGCAUAAGCCAGCUUGACUGCGAGCGUGACGGCGCGAGCAGGUGCGAAAGCAGGUCAUAGUGAUCCGGUGGUUCUGAAUGGAAGGGCCAUCGCUCAACGGAUAAAAGGUACUCCGGGGAUAACAGGCUGAUACCGCCCAAGAGUUCAUAUCGACGGCGGUGUUUGGCACCUCGAUGUCGGCUCAUCACAUCCUGGGGCUGAAGUAGGUCCCAAGGGUAUGGCUGUUCGCCAUUUAAAGUGGUACGCGAGCUGGGUUUAGAACGUCGUGAGACAGUUCGGUCCCUAUCUGCCGUGGGCGCUGGAGAACUGAGGGGGGCUGCUCCUAGUACGAGAGGACCGGAGUGGACGCAUCACUGGUGUUCGGGUUGUCAUGCCAAUGGCACUGCCCGGUAGCUAAAUGCGGAAGAGAUAAGUGCUGAAAGCAUCUAAGCACGAAACUUGCCCCGAGAUGAGUUCUCCCUGAGACUUAGAGUCUCCUGAAGGAACGUUGAAGACGACGACGUUGAUAGGCCGGGUGUGUAAGCGCAGCGAUGCGUUGAGCUAACCGGUACUAAUGAACCGUGAGGCUUAACCUUAC
Molecule: ribosomal RNA, 2908 nt
Filed under: Salmonella enterica subsp. enterica serovar Enteritidis str. 58-6482
Lineage: Bacteria; Pseudomonadati; Pseudomonadota; Gammaproteobacteria; Enterobacterales; Enterobacteriaceae
Description: bacterial LSU rRNA
Rfam family: Bacterial large subunit ribosomal RNA
Source: RNAcentral